This 498-nucleotide unclassified non-coding RNA is filed under the name Theodoxus fluviatilis. RNAcentral describes it as "sequence contains ITS2". The record is from RNAcentral. Lineage: Eukaryota; Metazoa; Mollusca; Gastropoda; Cycloneritida; Neritidae.
UUCGUCUGUGUGAGGGUCGGCGAACAGAUCCAUCGCGAGGUCAAACCGCUCUCCGGGCCACCGCGCCCGCUCGCGCUCUGGGCCGUCGCACGAAGUUCCGACUCGAGAGGGGAAAGAAGAGGGGUGCUCCUCCUCCUCGUACAAUCUCGCCGUCGGGCCUCCGCGGCCUCAAGUGAAGACUUUCCGUCGCCGCUCCGUCCGGAGCAGUCCUUUGGGAAACCGGGCGUGUCCUCUGGUUGCCCAUCGCACGCACACCAUCCCCCUCUCUGCUCGAUGGGGAGACGUGGCUCGAACGAGCUAGACGCGCUCCCCGGAGGGUUUGGUGUGUCAGUCGAAGACCAGAGACCGCUUCGUGGUUUUUCUCUGUCGGGAACUUGCGCGACCGGAAAAAGGGAAAAGAACCCCCGAAAAAAAAAUUGAGGAAGCAAUUCCGCAAUUUUGAUUUCUCUUUCCGACCUCAGAUCAGACGAGAGUACCCCCUGAAUUAAAGCAUAGAAA